GGAGUGGUGGCCGAGCUAGGCCGAAGGCGCUCGCCUGCUAAGCGAGUAUACGGCAUUAAACCGUAUCGAGGGUUCAAAUCCCUCCCACUCCG
RNAcentral lists this transfer RNA (92 nucleotides) under Seleniivibrio woodruffii. It matches the Rfam family "tRNA". From Rfam's summary of the family: Transfer RNA (tRNA) molecules are approximately 80 nucleotides in length. Their secondary structure includes four short double-helical elements and three loops (D, anti-codon, and T loops). Further hydrogen bonds mediate the characteristic L-shaped molecular structure. tRNAs have two regions of fundamental functional importance: the anti-codon, which is responsible for specific mRNA codon recognition, and the 3' end, to which the tRNAs corresponding amino acid is attached (by aminoacyl-tRNA synthetases). tRNAs cope with the degeneracy of the genetic code in two manners: having more than one tRNA (with a specific anti-codon) for a particular amino acid; and 'wobble' base-pairing, i.e. permitting non-standard base-pairing at the 3rd anti-codon position. Lineage: Bacteria; Pseudomonadati; Deferribacterota; Deferribacteres; Deferribacterales; Geovibrionaceae. The record is from Rfam by way of RNAcentral.